RNAcentral lists this ribosomal RNA (375 nucleotides) under uncultured bacterium. RNAcentral describes it as "bacterial SSU rRNA". It matches the Rfam family "Bacterial small subunit ribosomal RNA", at positions 524 to 898 of the family's 1533-position model. The record is from RNAcentral.
UACGUAGGUGGCAAGCGUUAUCCGGAUUUACUGGGUGUAAAGGGCGUGUAGGCGGGUCUGCAAGUCAGAUGUGAAAUCUCCGGGCUUAACUCGGAAGGGUCAUCUGAAACUACGGAUCUUGAGUACUGGAGAGGAUAGUGGAAUUCCUAGUGUAGCGGUAAAAUGCGUAGAUAUUAGGAGGAACACCAGUGGCGAAGGCGGCUAUCUGGACAGUAACUGACGCUGAGGCGCGAAAGCGUGGGGAGCAAACAGGAUUAGAUACCCUGGUAGUCCACGCUGUAAACGAUGUCAACUAGCCGUUGGGGGACUUAAUCCUUUAGUGGCGAAGCUAACGCGAUAAGUUGACCGCCUGGGGAGUACGGCCGCAAGGUUAAA